RNAcentral lists this ribosomal RNA (497 nucleotides) under uncultured bacterium. RNAcentral's name for it is "partial 16S ribosomal RNA". It matches the Rfam family "Bacterial small subunit ribosomal RNA", at positions 28 to 507 of the family's 1533-position model. The record is from RNAcentral.
GACGAACGCUGGCGGCGUGCUUAAUACAUGCAAGUCGAGCGAUGAAGUGCGUUGCUUUCUGGUGGGUGGGGAGGAGUGGCGAGGGGGGGAAUACCACGUGAGUAUCCUUCUCCGAUCUUGUGAAUAUCCGGAUGCCAGUGCGGCUAAUGCGGAAUAUUCUGAAUCGGUCGCUUGAUGGGUCUGAGACGGUUAUUCUUUCGGUGGUGGAUGGACCCGCGCCGUAUUAGCUGGUUGGUGGGGUGAUGGCUUACCAAGGCGACGAUGCGUAGCCGACGUGAGAGGAGGAUCGGCCACACUAGAACUGAGACAAGGCCCAGACUCCUACGGGAGGCAGCAGUAGGGAAUAUUACGCAAUGGGCGAAAGCCUGACGGAGCAACGCCGCGUGAGUGAUGAAGGUCUUCGGAUGGUAAAGCACUGUUAUUAGGGAAGAAGGAGUGUGUACUAAUUUCUGGCUGUCUUGACGGUACCUAAACAGAAAGCCACGGCUAACUACGUG